UCCUUCUUCUUCCUUAGAGCUCCAUGAGAGCCUCUCCAAUGGAGAUCUUGUAACACCAAUAAACAUAGUGAAAUUCGUGGAUGUAGGUCUCAAGAGACCGAACCACGUAAAAAGAUUUGUGUCUCAUUUACUUUCAUGUUCUUUUAUCUUCUUUUAUGUAUGUUUGAUGGUUAAGAUCAUCUUGGGAUAGUAAUCAGAUUUUAUGCUACUACAUUUUGGUGCUAGAAACAGGGACUAGAGUGAUGAAAUUAUCCAACCUAGUACCUUAAAACAUCAUUUAUUCACUGGCAGCAAGUUCUGUAACAGAUCCAGUGAAGAUCUAGUUGAAAUAAGUGCUUCUAGGGUAAUCUUGUGAAAGAUACAGGAGCUUCGGACAACAAAGUGCCUCGUCUGAUCCCAAAAAAAAUCUUAAGCAAAAAAGAAAAAAAAAAUAGGCGUGAAAAUCAGAGUUGUUAUUACACAAAAAAGAGAAAAGAGAGACUUCUCUACAUGGCGGAAAACACGAAGCAAAGCUUCUUCAAACACAGAAAUCAGCAGAUUUCUCACCAACCAUCAACAAUCAGCCGGGAAUCGAAAUUCUUUCUUCCUUUCUCUUCAUCUUAUUCUUAAUUUUCAGAUCUACAAGAUUUAAAACAGAAAUUUUGAGAAAAAUCAUCUUACAAAAACUAUGGCUUGUUCUUUAAUACAAGUCUGAUUUUGUUUCAAAAUCUUGAUUAAAAAUGAUUUUCGUUUACAAAUCUACAAUCAGUAGAUCUUACUCUUCAAACCCAUUGAAGAUUUUUUCAAAAACCACUGAUAAUCAAUAUCUUAGCCUAAUUUAGGGCCUUUUUCUUUGAUGUCUCUUCUUACUGCUCUACGUAGCAAUUGUAGAACGAGUUUACUGAGAUUUCUCAUUUGAUUAAGUUGCCGUUUCAGAAAAAUGAUGAUGGACGAAGUCGCAUCGGAGCAGUUAUGAUUACAGACCACCAUCAGCACCAUCUCGGGUGAACAAUUCGUGAAAAAUUACAGAGUCAAUCGGACUCAAUCCAUACCAGGCAGCUCAAUUAGAGCAACCAUCUCGUAAUGGCAGUACUGCUGAAGUCGGGGCAUCAACUUCAGAUGAUUAGAUCGGAAAGCUGCCUUCUAUCACGAACACCAUUCUCGGAUAGAAAUCCAAGCUCAAUCGAUAUCGGACUCAAUCCAUAUCGGAGCAACAGUCUCGGCCAGACAAUGAAAAGCUCAGCCCACAAUGGACCAGGAGCGAUAUAUGAACAAAAGUCACAUACUCACAUUGUGACAGCGAUAUUCGACUCAACAAUUUGUCUACGAGCACCAAACUCGGACAGACACUCAACAACACAACAACAGCUAACCAUCAACAUCUUAGCCUGAUUGGGCUUCUUUUCUUCACUAUAUCUUCGUGUUGUCUUGCAUAGCACCGAACGAAGUGAUUACUAAUCUAGUUGGUUUGUUGUUGCAGAGAGACGAUGAUGGACAAAAUCGCAUCGGAAUGAUUCACCAUCAUCGUGACCAACUCGAGACCAUCUCGUGAAGAAACAAAGCUCGGACUACAAGCCAACCAGAGCUCGGACUAUAAACGAUAUCGGAAAUAGAAUCCAUAUCGGAGCAACCAUCUCGUGCAGCUCAAUCCAGAGCAUCUAUCUCUGACAGACAAUGACAAAGCUCAACCCACAUCGGACUCACCAGUCAUCGGACCUGAUUCCCUCGUACUCGUCAGUACAUCUCCGAGCACCAAUCUCGGACGAGAAAUCAACAUGACAACCAGAGCAUGAACUCAAUAACGAUGAUGGACGAAACCACAUCAAAAUCACCAGCUCGUGUUCAACUCGAGACCAACUCGCGGAGAAACAACCAGCACGAUGGGAUCCAACCAGAGCUCGGACUCAUCAUUCUCAGACCACAGGCGAGGACAGAGUCAACCAACACGAUGAUGUUUAACCGAGUUCCAAUCUCGGACUCAAUCCAUAUCGGACAACUCAAUACUGAGCACCAACCUCGGAAAGACAACCAGCACGAUUAAGAUCGUAAAGUCAAGUAACAGCUAGCAUGACUCGAGCCAACCAGAGCUCGGACGAGGAGCAUGAACUCGGAUCGUGACAGUGACAUCGUAUCAUAAGCAUCAACUCGGACAUGUCACCCGAUCAACAACUCGGAUAACACUCUAUCCCACAUCUAUCUUCUGCUUUACUUUUUUAAUUGCAUACAUGAGAUGCUAGAUUAGUUAUAGCUAAAUGCUUCAUACUCAAAUGCUUAAACAAAUACUGAAUGUUUUAAAUUUAAAAGAAAUUUGAUACAUUCAAUGAACAGCAGGUGCACGUCCAUAUAUCCAAUAGAGGGGCUCAGCUAUUGCACCUGCUUUAGAUGGUUCAUCCAUGCUCGCCAGGAUUAUCUCGGAACAACCAUAUUGGAAACAAUAUACAUGGCUUAAUAAUCACUAUCUGGCUUCACAGCAGGCUAAGGGCAAAAGGCAACCUCAUGACAAAGGCUACAAAGCUAAAGGACGAUACGAUCUCCUACCUUUCUUGCCAGUCUAAGGACAAAAAGGGCACUUUCUAACUUAUAUAUUGAAUAUACAUAUGCCUAACCAAGGCACAAUUUUGCUUAAAAGCAAGCUAGAAAAGCUAGUCUCAAAGACUUAAGCCGAUAUACGUAUCGCACUGGUACAUCCAGAAUUAGGUGCCGCAAUCUAGCGCACCUGCUCUACAACGAGCAUCACUAUAAAUGACAAUGUGACAUCAUAUCGCAUAAAAAUGAACAAAAAAUAUUUACAUAAAAUAAAAGCUUUUAGAAUUAAUGAAUGCUUUAACGUUAAAUGUGAUGAAUUAACAUUUCAUGUUUUGCAGCAAAUCUCCAUUAUGGUUGGAGAAUUCAGUUAAGUCGGAUUAAUUAUCCGCAUAAAGUUAAGUCGGAUUAAACGUAAUCCGCAUAAAGGCAUGCUUAACCUGCACUAAGGUUAGAGUCGGAUUAGUCGUAAUCCGCAGUAAAGCCUUGUGUUUCUGUCUUCUUGCAGGUACACUUGAUGUAUGUAUGGUACAUCUGCUAGUUAUAUAUGUGUUUUCCUGCAGGGUUAAAUGGUGUAUCAUACAUACAUCCUCCUCUUGUUCUAUAUGUAUGUGUUUGCUAGUUAUAUAUAUAUGUGUUUUCCUGCAGGGUUAAAUGGUGUAUCAUACAUACAUCCUCCUCUUGUUCUAUAUGUAUGUGUUUGCUUGCGGGGACAUUUGAUGAAUGUUGAGUGAAUGUGAUAUAAAUAUCUUCCUCUUGUCAUGUAUGUGUUUUCCUGCAGAGUAACUUAGUGUUUUUAAUA
Molecule: long non-coding RNA, 3304 nt
Organism: Papaver somniferum (opium poppy)
Lineage: Eukaryota; Viridiplantae; Streptophyta; Magnoliopsida; Ranunculales; Papaveraceae
Exons: 2
Source: RefSeq, a predicted model, not a curated record